This 200-nucleotide ribosomal RNA is filed under the name uncultured eukaryote. RNAcentral describes it as "partial 18S ribosomal RNA". It matches the Rfam family "Eukaryotic small subunit ribosomal RNA", at positions 587 to 786 of the family's 1831-position model. The record is from RNAcentral.
AGCUCCAAUAGCGUAUAUUAAAGUUGUUGCAGUUAAAAAGCUCGUAGUUGGAUUUCUGGUUUGAUGCCUGGCCGCUUCAAAUUUUGGAGUGUGUGCCGGCUGUGCGUCUGCCAUCCUUCUAGAAAACGUUCGUACCUUCACUGGGCCGCGUUCGAGAUCUAGAUCUUACUUUGAAAAAAUUAGAGUGUUUAAAGCAGGCA